UUCAAUCAUUCGUUUUCAAUCAGACGCCCACAGCAUACAUGCAUAAAUUCGACGGACGCGAUGCCGCCGAACCACAGUUUUCAUCCACUAGUUUGAAGUUCGAAGGCACGCAAUCGGCCAUUCGUUAAUGAUCCCUCCGCAGGUUCACCUACGGAGA
RNAcentral lists this unclassified non-coding RNA (157 nucleotides) under uncultured fungus. RNAcentral's name for it is "sequence contains ITS1". The record is from RNAcentral. Lineage: Eukaryota; Fungi.